Non-coding RNA from Stegodyphus mimosarum, 73 nucleotides. The record is from Rfam. Lineage: Eukaryota; Metazoa; Arthropoda; Arachnida; Araneae; Eresidae.
GCUUUCGUGGUGUAGUGGUCAGCACUCUGGGCGCGUAUUCCAAAGGUCCGUGGUUCAAGUCCUGGCGAAGGCG